ACCCGCUGAACUUAAGCAUAUCAAUAAGCGGAGGAAAAGAAACUAACAAGGAUUCCCCUAGUAACGGCGAGUGAAGCGGGAUGAGCUCAAAUUUAAAAUCUGGCUGGUUUACUAGUCCGAAUUGUAGUUUAAAGAAGCGUUUUCGGUGGCAGCCUGGGUAUAAAUCCUUUGGAACAGGGUAUCAUAGAGGGUGAGAAUCCCGUCUUUGACUCAGUGCAUGCUACUAUGUGAUACGUUUUCAAAGAGUCGAGUUGUUUGGGAAUGCAGCUCAAAAUGGGUGGUAAAUUUCAUCUAAGGCUAAAUAUUGGCGAGAGACCGAUAGCGAACAAGUACCGUGAGGGAAAGAUGAAAAGAACUUUGAAAAGAGAGUUAAACAGUGCGUGAAAUUGUUGAAAGGGAAACGCUUGACACCAGUCAUGCGAGCGGAAAAUCAGUCUUUUGCAGUGGGGAGUUGUGUGGGUUCGGACCGCAAGGCCGGCCUGUGCUGCAUCUCUGCUGUAAGUGAUGCACUUUUUCGUUUGCAGGCCAACAUCAGUUUCUUCUGCUGGACAAAACUCUUGAGAAGGUAGCAGCUUUGGCUGUGUUAUAGCUCUUGAGCGAUACAGUGGAGGGGACUGAGGUUUUCGCAGCGCGUGCUCUCGGGCAAGGCUGAUUGGGUGCUAUGGGAUCGUUCGGUGUACAAUGCAUGCAUUUUGCGCCGUGUCUUUCCUAUACUCGCUCAACUCGGCUCCUCCGCGCUUAGGAUGUUGGCUUAAUGGUUUU
RNAcentral lists this ribosomal RNA (762 nucleotides) under uncultured fungus. Its description in RNAcentral is "eukaryotic LSU rRNA". It matches the Rfam family "Eukaryotic large subunit ribosomal RNA", at positions 23 to 641 of the family's 3401-position model. The record is from RNAcentral. Lineage: Eukaryota; Fungi.